GCAGUGAGCAGGAUUGGGCAGGCAUUCUCUCUCCCGUGAAAAUAUCUCCAUUCUCUCCCUCAGCUCGCUCCCCUUCUCCGUGUCCCCGCCGCCUCCGCUCCCCCUCCCUCUCGGCCGCCUCGUCUCCUCCGCCUCCACCACCUCCUCCUCCCGCAUCUCCUCAUCCCAUCUUGCUGCCGCCGGCUCCCCUCCUCUCCCCCUGAUUUCCCCCUUCAGCUCGUCCGUCUCAUCUCCCUUGCUGUUGCGCUGCCUCUUCCUCUGCAUCCGUGCUCAACAGGAGGAGCCGGGGUCGCAGCUGCACCACACGACAGUGGGCAAGGGCAAGCUCUAGCGCGAGCAUGCGGAGAGCUAUCCACUGGAUCCGGCCGGCCCAGAUCCACACGGCUCCGUCAACGACACGCCCGGGGACCCUGCCGACGUGGGUGUGCCGGCAUCUUCUCCAUGAGGGGGGCGAAUUAGGACGGAUCCACGCUGUCGACGCCUCUUCUUUGCUCCCAUGGACGAGCCCUCGCCCAGCGACCACCUCCACUCAGCUGUUGGGGAGGCUAAAAUGGCAAGGGCGGCAGGAGAAAUCCCUCCUCCUUGUGUUGCUGCAUCACUGCAUCCCCCGAUAUUCCAGGGUAGCUCGCCUGCCUGCUUUGAGAAGAAGAGAUGGAAGGUGGAGGUGGGAACAUGACGCUAGGAGGAUAAGGCGUGGGCGUCACAAGAAGUGGGUUGGAGCAGGAAGUAGAGCAUGCAAUGCCCCUCUCUACAUUGGCAUCUACACAGCCAAAUCAAGGACUUAAAUUCCUGGUAAGACCCUCUUUCAUUUGUUUUCUUUUUCUUUCAUGUCUGCAUAUCAGCCAAAUCAAGGACUUAAAUUCCUGGAGUAGCUCGCCUGCCUGCUUUGAGAAGAACAGAUGGAAGGUGGAGGUGGGAACAUGACGCUAGGAGGAUAAGGCGUGGGCGUCACAAGAAGUGGGUUGGAGCAGGAAGUAGAGCAGGCAAUGCCCCUCUCUACAUUGACAUCUACACAGCCAAAUCAAGGACUUAAAUUCCUGGAACGGCUCCUCCUAUCCCCUGCUCCUCUCGCAUUGGCGCAAGUCCGCCUCCUCCUCCACGCGUGCAGCAGCGACCCGGGAGGAGCUCAAGCCGCAGCGGUGGUCCAUGGCGCCUUCGUUGUCAUCCCCGGCUAGAGAAGCAUGGACCGCAGAGACGGACGGAUCUGUCCGGCCCUCGCGCCGUCAUUAGUCAACUCUCAAGGAUAAUGAGUUUCGACGAGUUGGAGACCCCCCAACAGCAAAUUCAGUCCGACGUCUUUGAUGAAAAUAGUGGUUUGAGCCAUAGUUCCAAGAAUGGAGCUGGACAGUCUUUUUGAGGAAAAAAAUUGAUGUCGCAAAGGCCAGGAACAAAAUCAAUACAUUAGUAUAUGACUUCAGAGAGAUGCUGAUACUAUGAGGUGAAAUGCUCAUUUAGUUAAGAGAAACGUUCACAAGGAUGACUGACCGUGUGCGACACUGACCUCGACGGCGUGCCACAUCAUUUUUGCCCGACCUCAAUGUUCACCUCGUCACCCACAGCCAGAUGGUCGAAGACAUCCCGAUGAAGCAGCACUUGUUUGUCCCUUCUUUCAUUGGUGGCGGGAGAAAGAGGAUCCACCCACUCCCUUAUGCUGAUUUGAGCCUUCCUUGUGAGUUGGCUCCAUUUUUGUCCUUUUAUAUGUGGGUGUACAUACCCGAGGUGAGGAAAUAAGUUCAGAUUACACUAAGGUGGAUCUCUCGAUUAAUAUGCAACUUUUUUAUGAAUAAAAGGUCUGAUAUUCUAGUAAGCUUAUGUGUGAUUUAGUAUAGAAUUAUGCUUUCAAGGUUGUACUAAUAGAUGACCUUCGCCAUUCUCUAAUUUUCCCUAGCAUGGAUUGCCUACUCUACAAGAUAAAGUGCCGGUUUAUGAGGAUAUUUUCCAAAAAGAGUUGUUAGGGUAUGAUAUGUACUCGAUUGAUCUAUGAGAUGACUUGCUUGGUGGCGAAGGUUUUUUACAUGUGCUCAGGUAACCAUCUACUGACUAUAUCUUCUAAUUUUUGCUUUUUGAGUCCUAUGAAAUGGUGUAAGUGAAUUCAUUAUAAGUGGAAAUUGUGGUUGGAUCAUGUUAAGAACUUAUGCCUUCUGUAACUGAUUUUGGCGAAGAAGAACAACUGCAUUUUUUUCUCUAGCUUGUGAAUGUUGAACACUUUGGUCCUCCUGUUGGUGCUUCUUUCUCAUGUGUGUACGUGUUAUAUUUAUGAGGUUGCUAUGGGUUUGAAGUGGUUAUGAUCUAUACUUGAUGAUCCAUGAACUGGACUAGGCUUUCUGAAUUCUGAUAGAAUGAGAAGCCUGCAGUAAAUAUCCAAAUGUUCCUCUACCAUCACAGCUUGAGUUAAUAUAAUAGUUAAUAUAUAAGGAUUUGAAUUUUGUUUACAAUUUUUUAACCCUGACCAAUAUGUGGUAAAGAUAAUAAAACCAGCACUUUUAGUUGAGUGAAAUCUAAGACCACAAUUACAUCGACGUGUUGCAUGUAUGAUGUAUCUCAGUUCAUGUUCUUCAACAUUUAAGUGUUUUGGAUGAUCAUGCCUUGUUUCUAUAGAUUGCCAUUUUGUCCAACGAGAAUAGUGAAACAGCAAAUUUAGUUAACCAUCUCAUAUUUGCAUUUGCUUUGUGAUGUUUCCAUUUUACCUACAAUAUUUGAAAUAAGAUCUUUUAUUGCUCACUGGGAACAAGCAAUAAAAGAGCUGUACUAGAAUACAAAGGUUCUUGUGUCUCGCGUGUGGCAGUACCGAGGAGGGACCGACGAUGGUCAGCUUGUGCAUACUGGCAUUGUGGUGCUUGACCAAGAGGGCACCCACAUGUAUGGCCAGAUUCCUGCUGACAGCUCAGGCACGGCGGUGCCCAUUCUUGCCUCUUUCCCUACGGGAUCAGCUACACUUGUCGUGCUGCCUCUUGAUGAGAUGAACACUCCUAUAUCUUCAUUCAAAGGAAAAGGGCAGGCUAUUAUGCUUAAAACACCCAGGUCGGUCAAGAAACUGAGCUUAUAGCUACUGAAGGUCCAAAGAACAACCUUCCUGACCACACUAAAGUCAAGAGUAAUGAAGGACAUUCAGGACAAACACUGCUGUCAAGCCAGCUGGCGCUCCAAAGAAAGCGAAGCAGUAGUUCUUCCAUGGACUAGGCUAGAUAUGUACAUACGGUGUAACCGGCGCUUCUUGAGUUCCAUUUUUCCUACAGGUGCGCCAGAUGAUAUGUCGCAAUAUGAUGAUAACUUUGGUUCCUCUUCUUUCUCAGGGUGUCUUCUAUGUUCUGCUUGCUGAAGAGAGCUUCUCAGCUCUGCUGCGUCACAGCAACGGUCUGGCCAUCGGGUCUGAAGAUCGUCAACUCUACACAAUUUUGGGCGUGCACCAGGUUUAUUUUGUGCAACUUUGUAAGACAAGGCUUUGACACUCGCAUAACUAUGUCGAGCCACUGUCAUGAAAAUUCCUCUAUUUAGGUCAUCGAGCAAAUCAAGUACUAUGCAUUGUAAAUAUCGCCGUCAGCCCUUUCUGCCUUAUCUCCCUCCUUAUGACAAUUUCUACCUUCUGUAAAUGCCGUUGGGCCAUGCUGCGUAAUCUAAGUCUUUUCAUUCUUGUUA
Long non-coding RNA from Triticum aestivum (bread wheat), 3636 nucleotides. RefSeq lists it as uncharacterized. The transcript has 12 exons. Lineage: Eukaryota; Viridiplantae; Streptophyta; Magnoliopsida; Poales; Poaceae. The record is from RefSeq and is a predicted model, not a curated record.